CUAAAUUAACUACUGUAGCUUUAAUACAAGCAGGCAAAAAAUAUAAAGUGGCUGUUAAACAUAGAAACACAUACAUCCCUCACUGUGUUAGAUACCGGACGAAAUGAUUGAUCUUAUAAGGCAGCAUAAUUUUGCUGCCAACUAUUUGGAACGGCCUCGCGUCUGGAGCUCGCCUGUGGUGCUUAAAAAUGCUGUGUAGGAAGGCAGCUCGCUGGGUUUGGAAUGGAGCCAUUCUCUCCUGUCAGAUGUCUUUGAGGGAGCAAAUAGGAGACCAAAGUGACGUUUUGUUGCACUAAAUGAAAUGAGAAUGGCAGUGGAAUAUACGGCCGGCAGCUCUUGAGUGCCACUGACAUUUCCAGCGGAUGACGACACAGAUGGUACCGAAGCCAGUGAUUAGUCUCUGCAUGUCUCUGCAUUUACGGCCAUUUCAACGGAGCGGCACUGGUCUCCACGGUCGUCUGUCUCAGCCUGUGCUGCUGAUUCAAGCAGCUUGUGCUCCACCACAGACUGUGUUUCCCAUGGUGUGUCUGAAUCUCUGCUGUUCUUCCUGUGGUGGACAUGCAGCUGCUGUGGAGUUGUUCUCAAACUGAUGAGCAGAGAAUAGACAGGAAAUUGUAUGGAAACAGUCACACAAGCUAGAGUCGAAUAUGUGUCGCCAGCUAGAGCAGAAUUGCAUCACUUUUGAACUGACCUAAAGGUAUGUUUUUAUAAGCCAGGAAUUUUUUGAACCAAUCAUGCACUAUGGUUAACAUUACCUAAAUUAACUCCUUGCAUAUUAUAAAUAUAGCUGUUCAUAACAAAUGGUUUAUACAGUACUAUUGUAACUCAAGUGUUACUUUAUUAUCUGAAAGCAAUGUUCUGCUGUGUCAAAUCUAGUCCUCAGAUUUGUAACUGAUCUGAAUCUGAUUUGAUCUGAAAUUGAUGAUUCCCAGUGUCAGUACCGUUCCAUAAACUUCAGUAAGCUGCAUGAGAGCUCACCGCUAAGCUACGUCUGCAACAAAUUCUGCCUUUAGCACAGGAGUCAAUAUCAUGGUCUGAUGUAGGUAGAGUUCGGAAAGGAGGCAUAGUUCAGCUAGAAAUCAUCCUCCUACGCUGCCUAUUCUAAAAUAUAUAAAAGUCUAUUUCUGAUUUACUCUGAGUACAAUAAUCCCGCUCAUGUGGAGCAGAGGCUUUUCCAGUGAGGAGUCAAUUGAGGGAAGAGGGCUUGUAUUGCUCUCCGUCUGAGAGGUAAUUAAUUUCAAUUCCAUUCAUUUGUCUCUUUGCCUGACAUUUUAAGCACUGACACUGAUGUGGAGUUUAUAUGGAUUAAUAAUACCCGGCUCAUUCCCGUUGUGGCAUUAACCUGCUUUUGUGUAUUAUCAGAGAAAAACAGACCUGAACACAAGCGCGACUGACCCACAUCAUUACCCUGAACAUGAAAAAAUGUUUACAGGUAAUCUCAAGUUAAUGUGACAUCUGAUAUUCAUUUACACGAGCCCGGCCUGUUUACUGUCCUUCACGAGCAACCACAAAACAAAAGACCUUUGUAAUAUUUAAUAAAGAUGCUUUUGUUAUCA
Long non-coding RNA from Cyprinus carpio (common carp), 1556 nucleotides. The record is from Ensembl. NCBI's taxonomy places the organism in Eukaryota, Metazoa, Chordata, Actinopteri, Cypriniformes, Cyprinidae.